Molecule: long non-coding RNA, 1446 nt
Organism: Mus musculus (house mouse)
Lineage: Eukaryota; Metazoa; Chordata; Mammalia; Rodentia; Muridae
Product: predicted gene, 34889
Exons: 4
Source: RefSeq, a predicted model, not a curated record
CUGGCUCCAUCAUCUAAAGUGUUAAAAAUAAAGGGGGCUCUUGGGUCCCACCAUAAGAGCACAUAAAGAGGAGAGGUACAAUGACCGUCCUCUGCCAUUGUAGGGCUCUCUAAUUUAUGCAUCGUUAGAUCCUUUAAAGCGUCAUUUUGUAGGCAACCUAACGGACACUUCCAAAUUAGCUCAAAGUAUACAAAUCCAAAGAAGAGGUACAGCACGCAGAGAGAGAGAUGCUGACUUGUUCCUCUAAGUGACGACAGAUGGAAAAAGGAUUCACUCAUUCAUAGAAUUCCAAACCAGAAACUGACCGUUCAACAGGAUCAAGUUCAUGGAAUCAAAGGAUUUUUUUUUUUGCUGGAAAUAUUUGUGGGUGCCCAAAGACACAAGAGGCUGUCAGAUCUCCUGGAACCUGAGUUAAAGGUGAUUGUGAUUCACCUGACAUGGUGCUGGGAACAAAACAUGGGUCCUCUUCAAGAGCUGCCAGCAUCUCUAACUGCGAGGCCAUCUCUCCUGCUUGUAAAAAUGAUGAAUGCAAAACAAAUGGAGUUGAUUGAAAGAAGAAACUGCAUCUCAGAUGUUUUCAUGGAAACCUGCUGAAGAGUGGUCAUAUCUGUGGCCAGGCUGCAUCUCCAGUCUGGGCAGAACUAAUUGGGUUCAGAGCUGAUGGCAGUCAAGCAGAUCUCUCAUGAUUGUUUAGAGUGCCAGGAUCAUAGAGAGAGGAACAAAAUAAUGAAAACUUUUUUUUUUUAAAUUUCAGUAAAAUUCAAAGGUAGUCCUUUGAAAUGAUAAAAUAGAGUUGUAGUCAGGAAACAAAAGAGCUGUUACAAACCACAAAGGGGUAAACAGUUGCAGGUGCAGAGAACAGGAGUUCGAAGAUAAUUCUAUGGGAAGACAGAGACCUGCGAAGCACGGUGCCACGAAGCACUGGCACAGAAAAACACACACAGAUCUGCCUGCUGCCAUGCCAGGUGGGCUGUAAGUGCUGACAAAGGAGGUCAGCUAGGAGUCUGCCAGCUGCGUGGCCUCUGCAGUAGGAGUCACUACAAGGUGCAAGGAUGUGGUAGACAGAUGGGAGAGAAAGAGAAGUGGAACAGUUUGAGCAGGAUCUCCAUGACACAGGGUAACAAUAGAACAACCAGGAGGUGUCCCGGUGAGGAUCCAAUAUUGAUGGUGUGACAGAAGCCAGAGACCUUGAACCAAACCAAUGGCUCAUUGCAAUGAACAUUUGCAAGUGAAGAUGUGUGGACAAAGGGGUAUACUGUGAGACACACUGUGACAUACUAUAACUUCAACAAUGAGAUAUUUUCUAUGCUUUGUUUUUAGUUUUUGGUCCGUUUGUGUGUUUUUUAUUGGUGGGGGGGGAAGGUUGCAAGGGUGGAUAUGGGGAGAUGAAUGGGCCUGGUGUGCAUGAUAUGAAACUCAUAAAUCAAUAAAAAGUCUUAAAAACUA